RNAcentral lists this ribosomal RNA (774 nucleotides) under uncultured Neocallimastigales. Its description in RNAcentral is "partial large subunit ribosomal RNA". It matches the Rfam family "Eukaryotic large subunit ribosomal RNA", at positions 20 to 628 of the family's 3401-position model. Lineage: Eukaryota; Fungi; Neocallimastigomycota; Neocallimastigomycetes; Neocallimastigales. The record is from RNAcentral.
UACUAGAGUAGCACUCGCAUAUCAAUAAGCGGAGGAAAAGAAACUAACAAGGAUUCCCCUAGUAACGGCGAGUGAAGCGGGAAGAGCUCAAAUUUGAAAUCUUAAAGGGUUUCCCUUUACGAAUUGUAGUUUAAAGAAGUGUUUUCUGUUGAGGUUUUGGUAAAAGUUCUUUGGAAUAGGACAUCAUAGAGGGUGAGAAUCCCGUAUUUGACCUUUACUUUCAACUUUGUGAUACACUUUCAAAGAGUCGGAUUGUUUGGGAAUGCAGUCCAAAAUGGGUGGUAAAUUUCAUCUAAAGCUAAAUAUUGGCGAGAGACCGAUAGCGAACAAGUACCGUGAGGGAAAGAUGAAAAGAACUUUGAAAAGAGAGUUAAACAGUACGUGAAAUUGUCAAAAGGGAAGCGUUUGACACCAGUGUUGUUUUUCUGAAAAUCAAUUAAAGAACUGUUUAUGCUAAGUUGUUUAGACUUUAUCAGCUAUCUGCUUAGUUUUGAGCUUUUCUUUAAUGCACUUUUCAGUUAACAAGUCAACAUCAAUUUCUUUUGCUGUAAAAAAGCUUGAGGAAGGUGGCUUGAGAUUCGUCUUAAGUGUUUAUAGCCUCCUGCCUAUGCAGUCGGAGAGAUUGAGGUCUGCAGCGUAGAUCCUUCGGGGCUAAAUGCAUUUGUGCUAAGUUACAGCAUUUUAUAGACAACUUGUUGACUAUGAUCUGUCUUGUAGCUUACUCGCUUAUGUUAUUUUACCUACGCUUAGGAUGUUGAAGACUCUACAGAGAUA